UUCAACGGCGGGCGAUGCGCGGGGAUUCCGAUCCGCCGGCUUUUCUCACUUUGAACCGGUAUGCCAACCCGCAUCGCCCGCCACCUCG
This 88-nucleotide non-coding RNA is filed under the name Xanthomonas sp. 60. The record is from RNAcentral. Lineage: Bacteria; Pseudomonadati; Pseudomonadota; Gammaproteobacteria; Lysobacterales; Lysobacteraceae.